Molecule: ribosomal RNA, 459 nt
Filed under: uncultured bacterium
Lineage: Bacteria
Description: partial 16S ribosomal RNA
Rfam family: Bacterial small subunit ribosomal RNA
Source: RNAcentral
CCUACGGGAGGCAGCAGUGAGGAAUAUUGGUCAAUGGACGAGAGUCUGAACCAGCCAAGUAGCGUGAAGGAUGACUGCCCUAUGGGUUGUAAACUUCUUUUAUAAAGGAAUAAAACGAGGCACGUGUGCCUUUUUGCAUGUACUUUAUGAAUAAGGAUCGGCUAACUCCGUGCCAGCAGCCGCGGUAAUACGGAGGAUCCGAGCGUUAUCCGGAUUUAUUGGGUUUAAAGGGAGCGUAGAUGGGUUGUUAAGUCAGUGGUAAAAAUUCGGGGCUCAACCCCGUCCGGCCGUUGAAACUGGGGGCCUUGAGUGGGCGAGAAGAAGGCGGAAUGCGUGGUGUAGCGGUGAAAUGCAUAGAUAUCACGCAGAACCCCGAUUGCGAAGGCAGCCUUCCGGCGCCCUACUGACGCUGAGGCACGAAAGUGCGGGGAUCGAACAGGAUUAGAUACCCUUGUAGUC